Molecule: ribosomal RNA, 254 nt
Filed under: uncultured Pseudomonas sp.
Lineage: Bacteria; Pseudomonadati; Pseudomonadota; Gammaproteobacteria; Pseudomonadales; Pseudomonadaceae
Description: partial 16S ribosomal RNA
Rfam family: Bacterial small subunit ribosomal RNA
Source: RNAcentral
CGGACGGGUGAGUAAUGCCUAGGAAUCUGCCUGGUAGUGGGGGACAACGUUUCGAAAGGAACACUAAUACCGCAUACGUCCUACGGGAGAAAGCAGGGGACCUUCGGGCCUUGCGCUAUCAGAUGAGCCUAGGUCGGAUUAGCUAGUUGGUGAGGUAAUGGCUCACCAAGGCGACGAUCCGUAACUGGUCUGAGAGGAUGAUCAGUCACACUGGAACUGAGACACGGUCCAGACUCCUACGGGAGGCAGCAGGC